UACGUAGGGGGGCAAGCGUUGUCCGGAAUCAUUGGGCGUAAAGAGCGCGUAGGCGGCCCGAUAAGUCCGCUGUGAAAGUCAAGGGCUCAACCCUUGAAUGCCGGUGGAUACUGUCGGGCUAGAGUCCGGAAGAGGCGAGUGGAAUUCCUGGUGUAGCGGUGAAAUGCGCAGAUAUCAGGAGGAACACCAAUGGCGAAGGCAGCUCGCUGGGACGUGACUGACGCUGAGACGCGAAAGCGUGGGGAGCGAACAGG
This 254-nucleotide ribosomal RNA is filed under the name uncultured bacterium. RNAcentral's name for it is "partial 16S ribosomal RNA". It matches the Rfam family "Bacterial small subunit ribosomal RNA", at positions 524 to 776 of the family's 1533-position model. The record is from RNAcentral.